GUGACAUCUGUUCUGGUCUCUAAGGUAGGAAUGUGGAGUGUGUUAGGGAAGAUUGAUUGGACAAGAUGAAAUAAAGUGGAACCUCCAGGUUUGGAGUUAGCCAGGCAAAGCAAAGAGAACAUAUGGUUUUCACUUGUGGAACAUCCUGGAGGUUUUUAAAAAUUAUUUAUAGACCCUUUUGUAAUAAUCUACUUGCUACAUGACCUGGAAGCUUGAAAGAAACACUGCUGUGACCACUCAAUCUCCUUCACAAGUGUUUUAGGACCAACAGUCCAGCAGAUUCUCAAUGUUUGGUAAGAGACAUGCUUAGAUUGUGCUGUUCCUACAACGCAAAGCCAGAUAACACUUUGACCAACUUCAGAAAAAGUGGUUAUGUGGAAAAAAAUGUGGAAGUAAAUAUACAGGUAGGUGCUUCCCAAUUGACUCUAGUUAAGCAGAAUAUAGAGUAUAUAAUCUAUGUUAAUGUUAAUUGAAAUGCAUAAUGACUUUCAUAUCUCUCUGCAUCUGAUGUUUUCAAGAAUAAUAGCAAAUUAGAAAUAUUUACAUAAGAUUUUUACUCCAUUAUUUAUUUCAAAUUUAUGUAUUUAUUUAUUUAUUUUCAGAUAGAGUUUUGCUUUUUUCACCCAGGCUGGAGUGUAAUGGCACAAUCUUGCCUCACUGCAACCUCUGCCUCCCGAAUUCAAGGGAUUCUCCUGCCUCAGCCUCCCGAGUAGCUGGGAUUACAGGCACCCGCCACCAGGCACGGUAUUUUUAGUAGACACGGGGUUUCACCAUGUUGGCCAGGCUGGUCUCGAACUCCUGACCUCAGGUGAUCUACCUGCCUCAGCCUCCCAAAGUGCUGGGAUUACAGGUGUGAGCCACCACACCCGGCCAAGAUGGUGAAACCACGUCUCUACUAAAAAUACAAAAAUUAACCAGGUGUGGUGGCAGGCACCUGUAUUCCUAGCUACUUGGGAGGCUGAGACAGGAGAAUCACUUGAACGUGGGAGGAGGAGGUUACAGCGAGCAGAGAUCGCUCCAUUGCUCUCUAGCCUGGGCAACAAGAAGGAAACUCCUUCUGAAAAAAAAAAAAAAGAAUAAAUAAAAGUAAGCAAAUAUUAGGAGCAUAUUGUUGAAAGUUAUAGAAUCUUAGUAACAUAUGACUCUAAUUAUUUGUUAAGGUUA
Molecule: long non-coding RNA, 1164 nt
Organism: Pan paniscus (pygmy chimpanzee)
Lineage: Eukaryota; Metazoa; Chordata; Mammalia; Primates; Hominidae
Source: Ensembl